This 1928-nucleotide ribosomal RNA is filed under the name Triticum aestivum (bread wheat). RNAcentral's name for it is "partial small subunit ribosomal RNA". Lineage: Eukaryota; Viridiplantae; Streptophyta; Magnoliopsida; Poales; Poaceae. The record is from RNAcentral.
ACAGCCGCAGCUCCCCCGCCUCCUCCUGCUCGCUCCUCGGUCCUCUUCCGUCCCUCCCUCCUGGUCACCUGUGAAAGCUACUGUCUUCUGUAUUUUAUUAUCGAAUUGACACAGGGGAGAUUACCACGAAGCAGGCUGGCGUACGCUCCUUGUUUAUUGCCAGUUGCUACCUUCCUUGCUCUUCAAUGGAAUAUACCUGACCUGGGAGCUUUCACACUCCUCGACUCGUCGUACAAGUUACUGAAUAGUCAGCUUGCUUCAGUAGUGGCUACUAAUGGUUCAUGUCAUGGCAGGCUUGUCUUGAAUUAAUAAAUCUGCUGGUGACAAGAUGAAAAUGGCUGGCUCUGCUGUGCUGCUCAUUUCGCUCCUAUCGGCUAUCGCCCCCCUACCCUCUGAAGCCCUCAACGUGGGAGGUCAUCUGCUGAAAUCAAAGACGUUCCGUUCUCCGCCCAUCUUACUGGGGCCUGGAUCAGUCUCAAACAAGUACUACCAUGACGUCGACUUCCCCCGAGGCCACCUUGCAGUCAAGAGCUUUAAUGCUGAGGUCGUCGAUGAGAAUGGCGUCCCUGUCCCGCUCCAUGAGACUUACCUGCAUCACUGGGUUGCAGUACCAUACUAUGCUCUCAAGGACAACCAGAGCUCUGAUGCGCAAAAGGUUCCCGCAAUGCUUAAAGGGAAUGAUGGAGUGUGCAAGAGAGCACUAACCCAGUACUUCGGGCUCGGUUCCGAGACUCGCCACACCGCCACAUGGGUUCCUGAUCCUUAUGGAAUUGAGACCGGCAACCAAGAGAAGGCCCCUGAAGGCUAUGAGGAGAAAUGGCUGCUCAAUAUUCAUGCCAUCGACACGAGGGGCGUGGCCGACAAGCCUAGCUGCACCGAGUGCAAGUGCGACUUCUACAAUGUCACAAUUGAUGAGUAUGGGCGCACAGUCUCGAAGAACUACACUGGUGGGUUGCUUUGCUGCUAUGAUCAGACCCAGUGUCGGCUCAAAGCAGGGUUCAACGCCGAGGUGCGGAAGGUGUUCUUGCAGUACACCGUGACUUGGCUCGACUGGACUGAUGCGGUGGUGCCUGUCAAGAUCUACAUAUUUGACGUUACGGAUACCGCUAUGCUCGACGGGACUCAUGAACACUCUUGCAAGGUUGAGUAUCAAGUUGAGGAAUGCAGCGCGGAAAACCGAGCCAACAAUGAGUGCAUCCAUACUAAGACUACCAGAGCGGUCUUGCCGCGUGGAGGAGAUAUCGUGUACAGUGUUGCACACCAGCACUCUGGAGGAGUCGGUGCUUCUCUGCAUGGCCAGGAUGGACGCCUUCUAUGUGAAUCGCUUCCAACUUACGGCACAGGGAAGGAGGCAGGGAACGAGGCAAACUACAUUGUCGGCAUGUCGAGUUGCUACCCUAAGCCAGGAUCCAUCAAGGUCAGCGACGGCGAGGUGCUGACCAUCGUCUCCAACUACAGCAGCGACCGAGAGCACACCGGCGUCAUGGGCCUGGUCUACAUCCUCGUGGCCGAGCCGCAGCAGCCGGCUCCGGCGCCAUCCCUGUGCUUCAGUUUUCCGGCCCCAUGGUGCCUACCGGCAUGGAUGUCUAGCAACAUGUGAAGAGUAGAUUAUCAUCUACCUGCAAUACAAAUGGUGAGGCCAGAAGAAGCUGAACCAAUCACCCUGGAUCAAUCAUCGUCAUAGUUAUAAGAUGGAUGUGUUUUUGUCAUACUAUUACUAGCUAAUAUACAGAAGCAGUCACCGGUCAGUGAGCAAUGUCAUUUCGAUGGACCAUCAGUUUCUGAUGCUUUGUAAUUAGUUAUUAUCAGUAGUAGUGUAUGAAGCUGAGUUGUAUGAGUUGAUCACCGCCAUAAGAAAAACUAGAGUCGAUAUAAUAGUAAGGAGAAGUACUUCGGUACAACCCCAACGUAUAAGGGGUAGUAUUGUC